Molecule: ribosomal RNA, 253 nt
Filed under: uncultured bacterium
Lineage: Bacteria
Description: partial 16S ribosomal RNA
Rfam family: Bacterial small subunit ribosomal RNA
Source: RNAcentral
UACGUAGGGUGCAAGCGUUGUCCGGAAUUAUUGGGCGUAAAGAGCUCGUAGGCGGUCUGUCGCGUCGGCUGUGAAAAUCCAGGGCUCAACCCUGGACCUGCAUUCGAUACGGGCAGACUAGAGUUCGGCAGGGGAGACUGGAAUUCCUGGUGUAGCGGUGAAAUGCGCAGAUAUCAGGAGGAACACCGGUGGCGAAGGCGGGUCUCUGGGCAGUAACUGACGCUGAGGAGCGAAAGCGGGGGUAGCAAACAGG